GAGUUUGAUCAUGGCUCAGAUUGAACGCUGGCGGCAUGCUUUACACAUGCAAGUCGAACGGCAGCACGGGUGCUUGCACCUGGUGGCGAGUGGCGGACGGGUGAGUAAUGCAUCGGAACGUGUCCUGAAUGGGGGAUAACGCAUCGAAAGAUGUGCUAAUACCGCAUAUUCUCUGAGGAGGGAAGUAGGGGAUCGAAAGACCUUAUGCUUUUGGAGCGGCCUAUCAGCUUGUUGGUGGGGUAAUGGCCUACCAAGGCUUCGACGGGUAGCCGGCCUGAGAGGGUGACCGGCCACACUGGGACUGAGACACGGCCCAGACUCCUACGGGAGGCAGCAGUGGGGAAUAUUGGACAAUGGGCGGAAGCCUGAUCCAGCAACGCCGCGUGAGGGAUGACGGCCUUCGGGUUGUAAACCUCUUUCAGUACCGACGAAGCGCCGAUGAUGGUGGUGACGGUAGGUACAGAAGAGGCACCGGCCAACUACGUG
Molecule: ribosomal RNA, 486 nt
Filed under: uncultured bacterium
Lineage: Bacteria
Description: bacterial SSU rRNA
Rfam family: Bacterial small subunit ribosomal RNA
Source: RNAcentral